GACGAACGCUGGCGGCGUGCUUAACACAUGCAAGUCGAACGGAAAGGCCCUGCUUUUGUGGGGUGCUCGAGUGGCGAACGGGUGAGUAACACGUGAGUAACCUGCCCUUGACUUUGGGAUAACUUCAGGAAACUGGGGCUAAUACCGGAUAGGAGCUCCUGCUGCAUGGUGGGGGUUGGAAAGUUUCGGCGGUUGGGGAUGGACUCGCGGCUUAUCAGCUCGUUGGUGGGGUAGUGGCUUACCAAGGCUUUGACGGGUAGCCGGCCUGAGCGGGUGACCGGCCACAUUGGGACUGAGAUACGGCCCAGACUCCUACGGGAGGCAGCAGUGGGGAAUAUUGCACAAUGGGCGGAAGCCUGAUGCAGCAACGCCGCGUGCGGGAUGACGGCCUUCGGGUUGUAAACCGCUUUCGCCUGUGACGAAGCGUGAGUGACGGUAAUGGGUAAAGAAGCACCGGCUAACUACGUG
RNAcentral lists this ribosomal RNA (468 nucleotides) under uncultured bacterium. Its description in RNAcentral is "partial 16S ribosomal RNA". It matches the Rfam family "Bacterial small subunit ribosomal RNA", at positions 28 to 507 of the family's 1533-position model. The record is from RNAcentral.